This 382-nucleotide long non-coding RNA is filed under the name Trifolium pratense (red clover). RNAcentral describes it as "long non-coding RNA (TPRA_LNC013270)". The record is from RNAcentral. Lineage: Eukaryota; Viridiplantae; Streptophyta; Magnoliopsida; Fabales; Fabaceae.
CUGUUCAUCGUCCCUCCCACCCGUUUUAUGCAGAAACGGGUCGUGCGACCCGGUUUUUGACCCGGCUCGAUCUCCCUCAAUACUCAACGAAACUCGGCGUUCCUUAUCUGAAUUUUGAUCGUUUUUCAAUUUUACAAAGGUUUCCGGUAUUAGUUUUUGAAAUCGGCGUUCGAUUCGCACGUAAAAUGAGGUCGAAAUUUGGAAGAAAUUAAAAAAAAUGUAAUAGUUGUUCUAUUGUUUCAAAAAAAAANNNNNNNNNNNNNNNNUACAUACAUGCCCCAGUUGCUCUAUUGUUUCAAAAAAAAAAAAUGGGUAUUUUUGUCCAACUCAAAAGGUGCACCUUGCUAACUUAGACCUAACUAGGGUCUAAGUUAGAAAACCC